RNAcentral lists this ribosomal RNA (432 nucleotides) under uncultured bacterium. Its description in RNAcentral is "partial 16S ribosomal RNA". It matches the Rfam family "Bacterial small subunit ribosomal RNA", at positions 29 to 507 of the family's 1533-position model. The record is from RNAcentral.
AACGAACGCUGGCGGCAUGCCUAACACAUGCAAGUCGAACGAGACCUUCGGGUCUAGUGGCGCACGGGUGCGUAACGCGUGGGAACCUGCCCUUAGGUUCGGAAUAACUCCCCGAAAGGGGUGCUAAUACCGGAUAAUGUCUUCGGACCAAAGAUUUAUCGCCUUUGGAUGGGCCCGCGUUGGAUUAGCUAGUUGGUAGGGUAAAAGCCUACCAAGGCGACGAUCCAUAGCUGGUCUGAGAGGAUGAUCAGCCACACUGGGACUGAGACACGGCCCAGACUCCUACGGGAGGCAGCAGUGGGGAAUAUUGGACAAUGGGCGAAAGCCUGAUCCAGCAAUGCCGCGUGAGUGAUGAAGGCUUAGGGUUGUAAAGCUCUUUUACCCGGGAUGAUAAUGACAGUACCGGGAGAAUAAGCUCCGGCUAACUCCGUG